AUCGCUUCUCGGCCUUUUGGCUAAGAUCAAGUGUAAAAAGCCGAUUCUGUUGAUAGUUUUAAAUCUUGAGGGUGGUCAUUUUCCUGGCAUUUUUAUAUGCCUCAUAAUUUUUAAAAUGAUGCUGAACAUC
The sequence is a small nuclear RNA, 130 nucleotides long. Its record names the gene U2. It matches the Rfam family "U2 spliceosomal RNA". Rfam says of the family: U2 is a small nuclear RNA (snRNA) component of the spliceosome (involved in pre-mRNA splicing). The record is from Ensembl.